GCGCCUGCGCUAAACCGACUUCUCGGCGCCAUUUUGUCUCGGCAGCGGUGGCCGCAGCUCUAUCGCAUUUUAUGUUUCUGGAGUAAAGGGAGCGGAGUCUUUAACAGGUAGAUUUAUUUUAGUGCGGCAUCCAUGCACUAUUUCCUCCAGGACGGCAUCUAGUGAAGCUCGGAGGAGCCGCAGAAGUGUCUAAAAGGUCAGUUGGAGUCUGUGGUUGUCCGGCUGACGGGGGGAUGGCGCAGCUCGAGCGACAGCGGCACCGGAAGUGAAGGGACCGUAGGCAGCCAUGGUAAAUUGUGCUGAAGAAAACAGGACAUCUCAGUGACAUAUCCCAAAGUGUUACUGAGAAUAAGACUGAUUUUGUGGGAAAGUGAAGCAAGGUGUUCCACUUUUAAAAGACCUGGAUCUGAUAUCUGUGUUGAAAAUUCUUUUUCUGGUCCCUUUAUGAAUGAUACAGAUGAAAGUAAACAGAUGAUCUUAUCAGAUAAGUGCUUUUAUAGUCGAAAUAUAUUUUAUUAUUUCAAAUCUCUAAACCAAAACUUUAUUCUUUAAAAAAAAUUUUUUAGGUACCAGUAUCAAGAUGAUUUACAGCAGUAGGAUACUCAGUCUUUUCUUAAAAUAAAUUUUGUUGUCAUGUCAAAGUAAAA
This is a long non-coding RNA of Galeopterus variegatus (Sunda flying lemur), 647 nucleotides long. RefSeq lists it as uncharacterized. The record is from RefSeq and is a predicted model, not a curated record. The transcript is spliced from 4 exons. Lineage: Eukaryota; Metazoa; Chordata; Mammalia; Dermoptera; Cynocephalidae.